AGGAUUAACGCUGGCGGCGUGCCUGACACAUGCAAGUCGAACGAGGCCACAAGGCCGAGUGGCGGACGGGUGAGUAACACGUGACCAACCAACCUCGAAGUUGGGAAUAGCUCUGCGAAAGUAGGGGUAAUACCGAAUGUGGCCCAGGGCGGGCAUCCGCCUUGGUCUAAAGAUUCAUCGCUUCGAGACGGGGUCGCGGCCUAUUAGCUUGUUGGUGAGGUAACGGCUCACCAAGGCGAUGAUGGGUAGCUGGUCUGAGAGGACGACCAGCCACACUGGGACUGAGACACGGCCCAGACUCCUACGGGAGGCAGCAGUGAGGAAUCUUCCGCAAUGGGCGAAAGCCUGACGGAGCAACGCCGCGUGUGGGAUGAAGACUCUAGGGUUGUAAACCACUGUCGGAGGGGACGAUCGUGACGGUACCCUCCAAGAAAGCCCCGGCUAACUACGCGCCAGCAGCCGC
Molecule: ribosomal RNA, 463 nt
Filed under: uncultured bacterium
Lineage: Bacteria
Description: SSU rRNA
Rfam family: Bacterial small subunit ribosomal RNA
Source: RNAcentral